This 569-nucleotide ribosomal RNA is filed under the name uncultured fungus. RNAcentral's name for it is "SSU rRNA". It matches the Rfam family "Eukaryotic small subunit ribosomal RNA", at positions 185 to 761 of the family's 1831-position model. The record is from RNAcentral. Lineage: Eukaryota; Fungi.
GCCCUUGGAAGGGGUGUAUUUAUUAGAUUAAAAACCAAUGCCCUUCGGGGCUCACUGGUGAUUCAUGAUAACUCCUCGAAUCGCAUGGCCUUGUGCCGGCGAUGGUUCAUUCAAAUUUCUUCCCUAUCAACUUUCGAUGUUUGGGUAUUGGCCAAACAUGGUUGUAACGGGUAACGGAGGGUUAGGGCUCGACCCCGGAGAAGGAGCCUGAGAAACGGCUACUACAUCCAAGGAAGGCAGCAGGCGCGCAAAUUACCCAAUCCCGACACGGGGAGGUAGUGACAAUAAAUACUGAUACAGGGCUCUUUUGGGUCUUGUAAUUGGAAUGAGUACAAUUUAAAUCCCUUAACGAGGAACAAUUGGAGGGCAAGUCUGGUGCCAGCAGCCGCGGUAAUUCCAGCUCCAAUAGCGUAUAUUAAAGUUGUUGUGGUUAAAAAGCUCGUAGUUGAACCUUGGGCCUGGCUGGCCGGUCCGCCUCACCGCGUGUACUGGUCCGGCCGGGCCUUUCCCUCUGUGGAACCCCAUGCCCUUCACUGGGUGUGGCGGGGAACCAGGACUUUUACAAGGGC